Molecule: long non-coding RNA, 365 nt
Organism: Corapipo altera (White-ruffed manakin)
Lineage: Eukaryota; Metazoa; Chordata; Aves; Passeriformes; Pipridae
Exons: 2
Source: RefSeq, a predicted model, not a curated record
CCCUAAGCCUCUCCCAGCACGCUCCCUGCUACAGCUCCCACUGGAGUAGCACCACAGCUAGAAUGCAAGUAUAUCUUAUCUGAAGAAACAAAAAAGAAAGAUAACCAGUGGCAGAAAUGCACUAGACAUCAGAGCUUACUCCAAGUGGAACCUGACAUCGUUUGCAGAUGCAAUUUAACUCUCAAGAAAUCAAGGGGUGAUUUUCUGUGUCAGCAUCUUGUGUGGUUUUUCAGUUCAAAGUGAUCAGUCGAGUUGCUGCCAGGCUUUACUUCACCUAUGUAAAUGACAACACAAAGUACAGUGAUAUGUAAUAUCACAAAGUGUUAUGGAAAAAUAUGCCUAAAAUAUAUAGAUUUCUAAAGUAA